Molecule: ribosomal RNA, 502 nt
Filed under: uncultured bacterium
Lineage: Bacteria
Description: bacterial SSU rRNA
Rfam family: Bacterial small subunit ribosomal RNA
Source: RNAcentral
AGAGUUUGAUCCUGGGCUCAGGAUGAACGCUAGCGGGAGGCCUAACACAUGCAAGCCGAGCGGUAUAGAAUCUUCGGAUUUAGAGAGCGGCGUACGGGUGCGGAACACGUGUGCAACCUACCUUAUCUGGAGGAUAGACCUUUCGAAAGGAAGAUUUAAUACUCCAUAAUAUAUUGAUUGGCAUCAAUUAAUAUUGAAAGCUCCGGCGGAUAGAGAUGGGCACGCGCAAGAUUAGUUAGUUGGUGAGGUAACGGCUCACCAAGACGAGUGAUCUUUAGGGGGGCCUGAGAGGGUGAUCCCCCACACUGGUACUGAGACACGGACCAGACUCCUACGGGAGGCAGCAGUGAGGAAUAUUGGACAAUGGGUGCAAGCCUGAUCCAGCCAUCCCGCGUGAAGGACGACUGCCCUAUGGGUUGUAAACUUCUUUUGUAUAGGGAUAAACCUCUCCUCGUGAGGAGAGCUGAAGGUACUAUACGAAUAAGCACCGGCUAACUCCGUG